GGCGGGCGCCUGUAGUCACAGCUACUCGGAAGGCUGAGGCAGGAGAAUGGUGUGAACCCAGGAAGGCAGAGCUUGCAGUAAGCCGAGAUCACGCCACUGCACUCCAGCCUGGGUGACAGAGCGAGACUCCGUCUCAAAAAAAAAAAAGAAAAGAAAAAAGAAAAAAGAAAUCUGCAUGCCUUUUUAACAGCUCCCAGGGGAUUCUUAUAUACAUCAUGU
RNAcentral lists this long non-coding RNA (219 nucleotides) under Homo sapiens (human). RNAcentral describes it as "non-protein coding lnc-AKIRIN1-5:1". The record is from RNAcentral. Lineage: Eukaryota; Metazoa; Chordata; Mammalia; Primates; Hominidae.